Non-coding RNA from Callithrix jacchus (white-tufted-ear marmoset), 4456 nucleotides. The record is from RefSeq and is a predicted model, not a curated record. NCBI's taxonomy places the organism in Eukaryota, Metazoa, Chordata, Mammalia, Primates, Cebidae.
GCGGCUGAUGGAGGACCCCUGCGAAGGCGCCUGGAGGGACAAGGAAGACCCGAGCUGCAUCUGCAGGGUCGGCGCGGGCUCGGCCUCUUACUCCUGGCUGGGCGUGUCCGAGCCCCGCCGCGCCCCCUCGUGCCGGCCUCCCGGAGGCCGCGCCCACCCGCCCCCGGUCGGGCACCGCCGCCCAAAGCUCAGGUUCUGAAUUCCGCUCCUCCAGGAGCUUCAUCACCUCCCGCUUCAUGGAGCUGGGGCAGGCAGCCUUCUUAACCCGAUUUUACUGAUGAGCAAACUGAGGCGCAGAGGUCAGGUGGCAGCCAGGACUUCAACCCGGGUUUGACUCCAACCCUACUGCCCAAUAGCACCCCGCAACGCCCCAGCAUAGAGCACCAUCCAGGUUCCCAGCGCCCCCUUAGCCGAUGGCCCAGUGUCCCGGCGCUCCAGCAGUUCCGCAGCACGCGGUGUGGAUUGGGUCCAUUCAGUAGAUGAGGAGGCUGAGGUUCCCGCGCAUAGCGGGUGCUGCGGCCCCUCUCCGACCCUUACAAGAACCGCCCCCGUACCACCACCAUCCCUUCUCUCUUUUCCCUUUCUUUUUUUGAGACAGGGUCUCCCUCUGUCACCACCUCUUUCACCUUGGUGAUUGAUAGAAGCCAGGAUGGUCUCGAUCAUCUGACCUCGUGAUCAACCUGCCUCCGCCUCCCAAAGUGCUGGGAUUAUAGGCAUGAGCCACAGCGCCCGGCCUUCAUUCACGUCUUUUAAUUUGUCUUUCAUUUUCUGCUCUCCUCACCUCUUCCUUCCAAACCCUUUGGACUCCAGCUCCGGGCUCCCUUUGGGACCCCCUUCCCAGAAGCUUCAAUGGCCUCUGCCUCUCCCUCGCUGUCUGCGGCGCCCUCUGCAGGUGACUGAUACUUGGCAUCUUAUGGCUUGGACCCCAUGAGAAGUGGAAGCUGACAAGAGGAACACCACCUCUCACCGAGAAUACACCUUUUAUAUCAGUGGUUCAAUCUUCAUCUGCUGCAGAGGAAAAAACUGAGACUCCAAGAACAGAAAUGCUUUGCUCUAAGGUCACACGACAGGAAAGAGGCAGCGCUGUGACCAGAAGGCAGGACCCCUGCCUGCCCGCUUGACCAAGGCCCUUCCCCAGCCUGGCCCACACCUCAGCCCUCCCAGGUGACUUGGGUGGCCCAGAUGGACUUGGCUGUCCUGGGUCUGUAGGGGUGGGGUGGGUUCUUUCCCAAGGAAGUGGGAAGGAGAAGCAUAGCAGGAGGGGAAAAGAAAAUAAAGUGAAAAUAUAGGAGUCUAAGAAGGGAAUGGGCUGGGCGCAGUGGCUCACACCUGUAAUCUCAACACUUUGGGAGGCCGAGGCAGGUGGAUCACUUGAGGUCAGGAGUUUGAGACCUGCCUGGCCAACAUGGUAAACUCCUGUCUCUACUAAAAAUACAAAAAUUAGCCAGGCAAAAAAUUAGCCGGGCAUGGUGGUGCUUAUCUGUAAUCCCAGCUAUGUCUAUAAUCUCAGCUACUCGGGAAGCUGAGGCAGGAGAAUUGCUUGAACCUGGGAGGUAGAGGUUGCAGUGAGCCGAGAUCAUGCCACUACACUCCAGCCUGGUGACAGAGCGAAACUCCAUCUCAUAAACAAAGAAAAGGAGGGAAUGGAAGGUCUGAGAUAGGAGGGUGAAGAGGCGGGAAGAAGCAAGUGAAUGAGAAGGGACUGCCUUCGAUGUGCUUUACUUUUCCUACCCUGUAGGGUCUCUCUUUAGGGUGACCGUGUGUCAUCCUAAGUGGGAGAUUUCGAGAGGGAAGAAGGUACUAACUGCCUCCCCACCCGGCUGGGACAACAGGCGCAGUUAGCCCAGGUUCCAAACAGCAGGUAUAAACUGACACUGAGGCACAUGGUCACCUUCUAUCUGUGCCCUGGACAGAGAUGCCGUAUCUACGGUGGCUUCUUUUACUCAGCAUGGCUGGCUUCCACAACUCCCAACCUCAGCUUCCAGCUCUACCCCUUCGCCCCCACAGCCACUUCCAUCUUCACAAUCACACUUGAGCCUGGUCCCCUUUUGUUUUCUAUCCUGGCUGAGGACAUCUCUUCUACCGUGGUUCCCCAACCUGGAAAUCUCCCUAAACUUUAUACCAAACUACUCACCAAGUCCUGGCAAUUCCUCUUCCCCCAGGUGUUAUGGAGCCCCAGCCCCCUCUUCCCAGGAGCUCCAGUCCCAGCCUGGCUUUGGUUCACAGUUCUCGGUCAGAUCUUUUCUCCCCCAGGCACCCUGCCUAUUUCACACCCAAACCCCAAAACCCUGGAUUUUGGCUGAGUUGGCAACAACACUGGUGUAAGACGCCAGGCAGAUUCACCUAACUAAAUGGACCCAUUUCCUCACUGCUGCAGAAUGUUCCAGAGCCUUUCCAGGGCUUCUUAACUGUUGUCAGGUCUCCAGGGACCUGACACAAGUGUCCAGACACGUACAUGCCUUGAUUUGCUGAGACUCAGGAGCCCUGCAGGAAGGAACUCAGCUUCUCUUGGAGGCAGAAAUGUUGAGAACUUUCCUUGGGCUUAUAUUGCAGGAAGGAGGGCCAAAAAGGCACCAAGAAGGAGAAAGAUGCUGGGCAGAGAAGUCCAGGCUGCGUGGCUGGGUGUGGCCGUGGGAUAGCCCGGGGCCUAGGUGCUGUGUGCAUCUGGGGCUGUGCUUCCGGCUCCAGGAGAGUCUGCUGGGGAGAGAAAGGGAGAAGGAACAGAGGAAAGAGCCCAGCCAAGGAGAUCCCGGCUCCUCUGCUGUGGUCUCCACUCUGACAGAACUGGCAGUAACAAGUAGAAGGUGGAGCCUGGCCCAGCACGGUGGCUCACACCUGUAAUCCCAGCACUUUGGGAGUCCAAGGUGGGUGGAUCACCUGUGGUCAGGAGUUUGAGACCAGCCUGGCAAUGUGGUGAAAGCCCGUUUCUACAGAAAAAUACAAAACUAGCCUGGGUGUGGUGGUGUGCAUCUGUGGUCCCAGCUACUCGGGAAGUGGAGGCAGGAGGAUCACUUGAGCCUGAGGUUCAACUUGGGAGGUUGAGGCUGCAGUGAGCCGUGAUCAUACCACUGCACUCCAGCCUGGGUGAUAGGGCAAGACACUGUCUCAAAAAGAAAGAAGGUGGUGCCCUACUGGCUGGAGGGGAGGAAAGGAAAAAAUAGGGAGGGGUCACAGCCCUAUAGGAGGCCUACUGUGGCAGAGGCUGGCCAAGCUGCCCAUGAGCAGAGCAUAGAGGUCAAUAGAGCAGAGGCAGGGAAAACUGCCCACAGCAGCUAGGGUUAUUAUUUAUAAAGUACCCUGCCCCACCCCAUCUAGAGGACAGAUGGCCUUUUCUGGUCCAAUGAACUGGAUGAGGCCAGGGAACAUUUAGAAAAGGACCUCCAAGAAUUCUAGGUAAACUGUUUUUAACAUUUUAUUUCAGAACAUUCUAAAUGAAGACAUAACUGGAGAUAAUAGCAUGUGACUUCCCAUGUGCUCAUCUCCCAGCUUUAGCACCUACUGACCCAUGGCCGAUCUGAUUUCUGUGUACCUGCUUACACCCCUUCCUCAUUGAACUUAAAAAAGAAAAAGCUUAUUUUUUUCCUUUUUCUCCCUCUAUCACCCCAUGUUGGAGUGUUAAAAACAGCUUUAUUGAAAUAUAAUUCACAUAUUAUACAAUUCACCCAUCUAAAGUGUACCAUUUAGUGUUUUUAGUAUGCAUCGUAUCUUGCAAACAUCAUUACAAUCCAGUUUUCUUUUUCUUUUUUUUUUUUGAAACAGUCUCACUAUGUCGCCCAGGCUAGAGUACAAUGGCACAAUCUUGGCUCACUGCAACCUCCAGUUCUGGAGUUCAAGCGAUUCUUAGGCCUCAGCCUUCUGGGUAGCUGGGACUACACAUAGGCUUGUGCCACCACACCUGGCCAAUUCUUUUUGGCAUUUUUAGUAGAGAUGGGGUUUCACCAUGUUGGCCAGGCUAGUCUCAAACUCCUGUCCUCAAUUGAUCUGCCCACCUUGGCCUCUCAAAGUGCUGAGAUUACAGAUGUGAGCCACCACACACAGCCUACAAUUUUCAAACAUGUUCAUCCCCCCAUACCCAUGAGCAGUCAACGCCUCUCAUCACCCCUCCACUCAACCCUUAACAACCACUAAUCUACUUUCUGUGACUGAAAUUUGCUGAUUCCAUACAUUUUCAUGUAAAUGGACUAAUAGGCUUCUUUCACGUCAGUCUUCAUGGUUCAACAGGUAUCAGUAUUUCAUUCCUUUUUAUUGCUGAGUAACAUCCCAUAAUAUGAAUGUUUCACAUUUUAUUUUUUCAUUUAGCAAUUGGGAUGGAAUUUGGAUUAUUUCUAUUUUGGGGGAUGUCAUGAAUAAUGCUGCUAUGAAUAUUUAUGUACAAGUUUUUGUGUGGACAUACGUUUUCAUUUCUCUACCUAGGGGUGGAAUUGCUGGAUUGUAGAGUAAAUCUAUGUUUAACUUA